GUAGGUGGCAAGCGUUGUCCGGAAUUAUUGGGCGUAAAGCGCGCGCAGGUGGUUCUUUAAGUCUGAUGUGAAAGCCCCCGGGCUCAACCGGGGAGGGUCAUUGGAAACUGGGGAACUUGAGUGCAGGAGAGGAAAGUGGAAUUCCACGUGUAGCGGUGAAAUGCGUAGAUAUGUGGAGGAACACCAGUGGCGAAGGCGACUUUCUGGCCUGUGACUGACACUGAGGCGCGAAAGCGUGGGGAGCAAACAGGAUUAGAUACCCUGGUAGUCCACGCCGUAAACGAUGAGUGCUAAGUGUUGGGGGGUUUCCGCCCCUCAGUGCUGCAGCUAACGCAUUAAGCACUCCGCCUGGGGAGUACGGUCGCAAGACUG
This 372-nucleotide ribosomal RNA is filed under the name uncultured organism. RNAcentral describes it as "partial 16S ribosomal RNA". It matches the Rfam family "Bacterial small subunit ribosomal RNA", at positions 527 to 896 of the family's 1533-position model. The record is from RNAcentral.